RNAcentral lists this ribosomal RNA (222 nucleotides) under Brachymyrmex sp. SL13.01. Its description in RNAcentral is "partial large subunit ribosomal RNA". The record is from RNAcentral. Lineage: Eukaryota; Metazoa; Arthropoda; Insecta; Hymenoptera; Formicidae.
GAAUUUAAUAUAAUAUUUAAUUAAUUAAUUAUUUUUUAUUUAUACAUUAUAUUUUAUUGGGAGGAUAGUUAAAUUUAUUAAACUUUAAAUUAUAUUAAAAACAUAAAUUAUUGAACAAUAGAAUAAUUUAAGUUUUUUAGUCAUUAAAUUAUUGAAAAAUUAAUUACCUUAGGGAUAACAGCGUAAUAUUUUUAGAAAGAUCACAUUAAUAUAAAUGAUUGC